Molecule: small nucleolar RNA, 75 nt
Organism: Colius striatus (speckled mousebird)
Lineage: Eukaryota; Metazoa; Chordata; Aves; Coliiformes; Coliidae
Rfam family: Small nucleolar RNA SNORD102
About the family: snoRNA U102 is a member of the C/D class of snoRNA which contain the C (UGAUGA) and D (CUGA) box motifs. It is found within intron 3 of the L21 ribosomal protein gene.
Source: Rfam
AGCUUGAUGAUGAUUGUUUCCUGUGAUUGCUUGCUGCAAGCAAAGUGAUCAAUCAUUUCACCGACACUGAAAGCA